This 447-nucleotide ribosomal RNA is filed under the name uncultured bacterium. Its description in RNAcentral is "partial 16S ribosomal RNA". It matches the Rfam family "Bacterial small subunit ribosomal RNA", at positions 330 to 793 of the family's 1533-position model. The record is from RNAcentral.
UCCAGACUCCUACGGGAGGCAGCAGUGGGGAAUAUUGCACAAUGGGGGGAACCCUGAUGCAGCGACGCCGCGUGGGUGAAGGAGUAUUUCGGUAUGUAAAGCCCUAUCAGCAGGGAAGAACAAUGACGGUACCUGACUAAGAAGCACCGGCUAAAUACGUGCCAGCAGCCGCGGUAAUACGUAUGGUGCAAGCGUUAUCCGGAUUUACUGGGUGUAAAGGGAGCGCAGGCGGCGCGUUAAGCCUGGUGUGAAAGCCCGCGGCCCAACCCCGGGACUGCUCUUGGAACUGCGCGGCUGGAGUGCAGGAGGGGCAGGCGGAAUUCCUGGUGUAGCGGUGAAAUGCGUAGAUAUCAGGAGGAACACCGGUGGCGAAGGCGGCCUGCUGGACUGCGACUGACGUUGAGGCCCGAAAGCGUGGGGAGCAAACAGGAUUAGAUACCCCCGUAC